GAGGCGGUUGAGUGAGACGAGACGCGCCCCUCCCACGCGGGGAAGGGCGCCCGCCUGGUCCGGCGAGCGCACGUCCGGUGCUCCCCUCUGGCGGAAAUACUAGGCUUUAGAAUUUCACCAUAUGAAUUUUGGGAGAGAGGAGCACAGUUCAGCCCAUAACUAACACACGCAAGACAAAUCUCUCCUCUGCCUUCUCCUUAUCAGACUACUCAACAUGAAGGCAAUAAGAAUGAAGACCUCUAUGUAUAAUAAUUGACUUCCACUUAAUAAAUAAGGUUACUUGGUACACUGGUCGACAAAACCUUGAAAUGUUGAUGUUUAAGGGCUGUUGAUUGCUGGCAGCAAAGAAGUCCAACUGUGCUGGUACCCGAGAUAGCGUCUCCACAUUUUCUUCCAGGAUCAUCACCUUUGUUCUAAAUAGCUCCCACAUAGUGUGAACAGAAGUCAUAUGUUUUAGAUUUUCUGCCUUGGCA
This 473-nucleotide long non-coding RNA is filed under the name Homo sapiens (human). RNAcentral describes it as "non-protein coding MIR663AHG:10". Lineage: Eukaryota; Metazoa; Chordata; Mammalia; Primates; Hominidae. The record is from RNAcentral.